Molecule: ribosomal RNA, 243 nt
Filed under: uncultured bacterium
Lineage: Bacteria
Description: partial 16S ribosomal RNA
Rfam family: Bacterial small subunit ribosomal RNA
Source: RNAcentral
GAUCCUGGCUCAGGACGAACGCUGGCGGCGUGCCUAAUACAUGCAAGUCGAGCGAAGUUUUUCUGGUGCUUGCACCGGAAAAACUUAGCGGCGAACGGGUGAGUAACACGUAAAGAACCUGCCUCAUAGACUGGGACAACUAUUGGAAACGAUAGCUAAUACCGGAUAACAGCAUUAACUGCAUGGUUUGAUGUUUGAAAGUUGGUUUUGCUAACACUAUGAGAUGGCUUUGCGGUGCAUUAG